This is a long non-coding RNA of Juglans microcarpa x Juglans regia, 264 nucleotides long. RefSeq lists it as uncharacterized. NCBI's taxonomy places the organism in Eukaryota, Viridiplantae, Streptophyta, Magnoliopsida, Fagales, Juglandaceae. The transcript is spliced from 3 exons. The record is from RefSeq and is a predicted model, not a curated record.
CUUUGGAGCGGUCUGGCUGUUUUUACUGGAGAAGCAACCCUCCUAUUAUGAGUUGCCACAUCAAAUAUCACACCAAAUACAAAAUAGAUGCACCCACAGCGAAUCACAAACCUAGGUAACCAGAGCCCCUCCCUUCUGUCUCGAUUCGAUUCCAAACUCAUCAUCGUACACCGAUGUGGAUUUUUUUUUCAAGCGUUGUGCAUCAUCAUUGUUUUUCUCCUCUUCCCAUUUGAAUUUCAAAUCGGCCUAUAUCCCGCUAAACCC